AAGCAGCGGAGCAUGCGGCUUAAUUCGACGCAACGCGAAGAACCUUACCAAGGCUUGACAUAUACAGGAAUAUGGCAGAGAUGUCAUAGCCGCAAGGUCUGUAUACAGGUGGUGCAUGGUUGUCGUCAGCUCGUGUCGUGAGAUGUUGGGUUAAGUCCCGCAACGAGCGCAACCCUCGUUCUGUGUUGCCAGCAUUUAGUUGGGGACUCACAGGAGACUGCCGGGGUUAACUCGGAGGAAGGUGGGGAUGACGUCAAAUCAUCAUGCCCCUUAUGUCUUGGGCUGCACGCAUGCUACAAUGGCUGGUACAAACGGCUGCAAUACCGCAAGGUGGAGCGAAUCCGAGAAAGCCAGUCUCAGUUCGGAUUGGGGUCUGCAACUCGACCCCAUGAAGUCGGAGUUGCUAGUAAUCGUAGAUCAGCAACGCUACGGUGAAUACGUUCCCGGGGCUGUACACACCGCCCGUCACAUCACGAAGUCGGUAACACCCAAAGUCAGUG
RNAcentral lists this ribosomal RNA (500 nucleotides) under uncultured Actinomycetes bacterium. Its description in RNAcentral is "bacterial SSU rRNA". It matches the Rfam family "Bacterial small subunit ribosomal RNA", at positions 927 to 1432 of the family's 1533-position model. The record is from RNAcentral. Lineage: Bacteria; Bacillati; Actinomycetota; Actinomycetes.